This 353-nucleotide long non-coding RNA is filed under the name Olea europaea (common olive). RNAcentral's name for it is "long non-coding RNA (OEUR_LNC011342)". Lineage: Eukaryota; Viridiplantae; Streptophyta; Magnoliopsida; Lamiales; Oleaceae. The record is from RNAcentral.
CAAACUUCAUUAGGGUUCUUAGUCUUUUCUUGAGCUUCCAAACGAGAAAAUAUCCUCAAAUUUCAUCUAGAAAGACCUUGAUCUUUUAUUGAGCUACCAAUCAGGAACCCUAAUCCUCAAAUCCUCCUUCAAACCGCACUAGACUUUGCCUAUUUCUGCAAUUUUUCUGCAAAAAUCAAAGAGGCGGGACCACAACCUUCUAAAAUUUAUUUGACAUGUCAAUGUGGAGGAACAAGAUGAAGGUUAGAACUUCUUUUUUUUUUAAGGAUUUUUUGUCCGUAUUCAAAAUCUUUUUUUCUGUAAUCAAAAUAUUGCUUCAUUUUUAACUUUUUACCAGGUGGAGCUGAAUCACA